ACGAUGAAGAGUUUGAUCCUGGCUCAGGAUGAACGCUAGCGGCAGGCUUAACACAUGCAAGUCGAACGGUAACAUAGAAAAGCUUGCUUUUCUGAUGACGAGUGGCGCACGGGUGAGUAACGCGUAUACAAUUUACCUAUCACAGGGGUAUAGCUCGAAGAAAUUUGAAUUAAUCCCCCAUGGUAUAUAUGAUUGGCAUCAAUUAUAUAUUAAAGUUUCGGCGGUGAUAGAUGAGUAUGCGUCCUAUUAGUUAGUUGGUAAGGUAACGGCUUACCAAGGCGACGAUAGGUAGGGGUCCUGAGAGGGAGAUCCCCCACACUGGUACUGAGACACGGACCAGACUCCUACGGGAGGCAGCAGUGAGGAAUAUUGGACAAUGGAGGCAACUCUGAUCCAGCCAUGCCGCGUGCAGGAAGACUGCCCUAUGGGUUGUAAACUGCUUUUAUACAGGAAGAAUAAUGAGUACGUGUACUCAGAUGACGGUACUGUAAGAAUAAGCAUCGGCUAACUCCGUGCCAGCAGCCGCGGUAAUACGGAGGAUGCAAGCGUUAUCCGGAAUCAUU
RNAcentral lists this ribosomal RNA (563 nucleotides) under Mesonia hippocampi. RNAcentral describes it as "Bacterial small subunit ribosomal RNA". It matches the Rfam family "Bacterial small subunit ribosomal RNA", at positions 1 to 555 of the family's 1533-position model. Lineage: Bacteria; Pseudomonadati; Bacteroidota; Flavobacteriia; Flavobacteriales; Flavobacteriaceae. The record is from Rfam by way of RNAcentral.